This 200-nucleotide ribosomal RNA is filed under the name uncultured bacterium. RNAcentral's name for it is "partial 16S ribosomal RNA". It matches the Rfam family "Bacterial small subunit ribosomal RNA", at positions 28 to 227 of the family's 1533-position model. The record is from RNAcentral.
GAUGAACGCUAGCGGCAGGCCUAAUACAUGCAAGUCGAGGGGCAGCACGGUAGCAAUACUGGUGGCGACCGGCGCACGGGUGCGUAACACGUAUGCAACCUGCCUUCAACUGGGAGAUAGCCCGGGGAAACUCGGAUUAAUACCCCAUAACACACUUGGUCAGCAUUGAUUGAUUGUUAAAGCUCCGGCGGUUGAAGAUG